RNAcentral lists this ribosomal RNA (194 nucleotides) under uncultured bacterium. RNAcentral's name for it is "partial 16S ribosomal RNA". It matches the Rfam family "Bacterial small subunit ribosomal RNA", at positions 338 to 524 of the family's 1533-position model. The record is from RNAcentral.
CCUACGGGAGGCAGCAGUGGGGAAUUUUGGACAAUGGGGGAAACCCUGAUCCAGCCAUCCCGCGUGUGCGAUGAAGGCCUUCGGGUUGUAAAGCACUUUUGGCAGGGAAGAAACGGCCCGGGAUAAUACCCUGGGUUAAUGACGGUACCUGCAGAAUAAGCACCGGCUAACUACGUGCCAGCAGCCGCGGUAAU